CCUACGGGAGGCAGCAGUGGGGAAUUUUGGACAAUGGACGCAAGUCUGAUCCAGCCAUGCCGCGUGCGGGAAGAAGGCCUUCGGGUUGUAAACCGCUUUUGUCAGGGAAGAAAAGGUUCUGGUUAAUACCUGGGACUCAUGACGGUACCUGAAGAAUAAGCACCGGCUAACUACGUGCCAGCAGCCGCGGUAAUACGUAGGGUGCAAGCGUUAAUCGGAAUUACUGGGCGUAAAGCGUGCGCAGGCGGUUAUGCAAGACAGAGGUGAAAUCCCCGGGCUCAACCUGGGAACUGCCUUUGUGACUGCAUAGCUAGAGUACGGUAGAGGGGGAUGGAAUUCCGCGUGUAGCAGUGAAAUGCGUAGAUAUGCGGAGGAACACCGAUGGCGAAGGCAAUCCCCUGGACCUGUACUGACGCUCAUGCACGAAAGCGUGGGGAGCAAACAGGAUUAGAUACCCUGGUAGUCCACGCCCUAAACGAUGUCAACUGGUUGUUGGGAGGGUUUCUUCUCAGUACGUAGCUAACGCGUGAAGUUGACCGCCUGGGGGAGGUACGGCCGCGAGUAGAACGACAAUAGAGUAGACGGCGUGAGAGUGCCGACGGACGACGACGAGGGAGGAGG
This 621-nucleotide ribosomal RNA is filed under the name uncultured bacterium. RNAcentral describes it as "bacterial SSU rRNA". The stretch from base 1 to 541 matches the Rfam family "Bacterial small subunit ribosomal RNA", at positions 338 to 873 of the family's 1533-position model. The record is from RNAcentral.